Molecule: ribosomal RNA, 1400 nt
Filed under: uncultured bacterium
Lineage: Bacteria
Description: bacterial SSU rRNA
Rfam family: Bacterial small subunit ribosomal RNA
Source: RNAcentral
UUAGAGUUUGAUCCUGGCUCAGGAUGAACGCUAGCGGCAGGCUUAACACAUGCAAGUCGAGGGGCAGCGAGAUCAGUGCUUGCACUGAUUGUCGGCGACCGGCGCACGGGUGCGUAACGCGUAUGCAACCUACCCAUUACAGGGGGAUAACACUGAGAAAUCGGUACUAAUACCCCAUAACAUCCAGGGAGGCAUCUUCUUGGGUUGAAAACUCCGGUGGUAAUGGAUGGGCAUGCGUUGUAUUAGUUAGUUGGUGGGGUAACGGCUCACCAAGACAACGAUACAUAGGGGGACUGAGAGGUUAACCCCCCACAUUGGUACUGAGACACGGACCAAACUCCUACGGGAGGCAGCAGUGAGGAAUAUUGGUCAAUGGACGCAAGUCUGAACCAGCCAUGCCGCGUGCAGGAAGACGGCUCUAUGAGUUGUAAACUGCUUUUGUACGAGGGUAAACGCAGAUACGCGUAUCUGUCUGAAAGUAUCGUACGAAUAAGGAUCGGCUAACUCCGUGCCAGCAGCCGCGGUAAUACGGAGGAUUCAAGCGUUAUCCGGAUUUAUUGGGUUUAAAGGGUGCGUAGGCGGUCGGAUAAGUUAGAGGUGAAAUCCCGGGGCUCAACUUCGGAAUUGCCUCUGAUACUGUUCGGCUAGAGAGUAGUUGCGGUAGGCGGAAUGUAUGGUAUAGCGGUGAAAUGCUUAGAGAUCAUACAGAACACCGAUUGCGAAGGCAGCUUACCAAGCUACUUCUGACGUUGAGGCACGAAAGCGUGGGGAGCAAACAGGAUUAGAUACCCUGGUAGUCCACGCAGUAAACGAUGAUAACUCGUUGUCGGCGAUACAGUGUCGGUGACUAAGCGAAAGCGAUAAGUUAUCCACCUGGGGAGUACGUUCGCAAGAAUGAAACUCAAAGGAAUUGACGGGGGCCCGCACAAGCGGAGGAACAUGUGGUUUAAUUCGAUGAUACGCGAGGAACCUUACCCGGGCUUGAAAGUUAGUGACGGAUCUUGAAAGAGGUCUUCCCUUCGGGGCACGAAACUAGGUGCUGCAUGGUUGUCGUCAGCUCGUGCCGUGAGGUGUCGGGUUAAGUCCCAUAACGAGCGCAACCCCUACCGUUAGUUGCCAGCAGGUCAAGCUGGGCACUCUGACGGGACUGCCGGUGUAAGCCGAGAGGAAGGUGGGGAUGACGUCAAAUCAGCACGGCCCUUACGUCCGGGGCUACACACGUGUUACAAUGGCAGGUACAGAGGGCAGCUACCCAGCGAUGGGAUGCGAAUCUCGAAAGCCUGUCUCAGUUCGGAUUGGAGGCUGAAACCCGCCUCCAUGAAGUUGGAUUCGCUAGUAAUCGCGCAUCAGCCAUGGCGCGGUGAAAAGGUUCCCGGGCCUUGCACACACCGCCCGUCAAG